This 21-nucleotide non-coding RNA is filed under the name Arabidopsis thaliana (thale cress). Lineage: Eukaryota; Viridiplantae; Streptophyta; Magnoliopsida; Brassicales; Brassicaceae. The record is from RNAcentral.
UCGUCAUUGAUUCAGGUAGUU